UAUCAACCCUCAAGCUUGGCUUGUCAUUGGGUCUCGUCGUCGUCAAGGCGACGGUCCCGAAAGGUAAUGGCGGUGUCGUGUUUGACCCCAGAUGCAACGAGCUUUUACAGCACGCAUUGAGGUGGUCUACCGGCCCGGUCUUGUAAUCUAUUUUUCUCAAGGUUGACCUCGGAUCAGGUAGGAAUACCCGCUGAACUUAA
RNAcentral lists this unclassified non-coding RNA (200 nucleotides) under soil metagenome. RNAcentral's name for it is "partial contains internal transcribed spacer 2 and large subunit ribosomal RNA". The record is from RNAcentral.